GCUAAUUUGGCAGAAUAGUGCUUUAAAUUUAGAAUUUGAAAAUGUAAGGAAAUCAUAUACAGUUAGUA
RNAcentral lists this transfer RNA (68 nucleotides) under Sogata hakonensis. Its description in RNAcentral is "tRNA-Leu". Lineage: Eukaryota; Metazoa; Arthropoda; Insecta; Hemiptera; Delphacidae. The record is from RNAcentral.